UUAAUAUUUUUGGUUAAAUUGAAGUUUAAUUUUUUUUUUUGAUGUUAAUUUUUAAUUUUUUGGGUGAAAUAGUUAAAAUUUAAAUAANUUUAAUUUGAUUCUUUGAAAAUUAAAAUUUAAACUA
This 124-nucleotide ribosomal RNA is filed under the name Ramulus mikado. RNAcentral's name for it is "partial 12S ribosomal RNA". The record is from RNAcentral. Lineage: Eukaryota; Metazoa; Arthropoda; Insecta; Phasmatodea; Phasmatidae.